GACGAACGCUGGCGGCGUGCUUAAUACAUGCAAGUCGAGCGAGGUUACUGUUUUGGAUCCCUUCGGGGUGAAGAAGCUUUAACCUAGCGGCGGACGGGUGAGUAACGCGUGGGUAACCUACCCCAAAGUCCGGGAUAACAGCGGGAAACCGCUGCUAAUACCGGAUGUCUUUACCUUGGGGCAUCUUGAGGUAAAGAAAGGUAACGCUUUGGGAUGGGCCCGCGUCCCAUUAGCUAGUUGGUGAGGUAACGGCUCACCAAGGCGACGAUGGGUAGCCGGCCUGAGAGGGUGGACGGCCACACUGGGACUGAGACACGGCCCAGACUCCUACGGGAGGCAGCAGUAGGGAAUAUUGCGCAAUGGACGGAAGUCUGACGCAGCGACGCCGCGUGAGCGAUGAAGGUCUUCGGAUCGUAAAAGCUCUGUCCUUGGGGAAGAAGGCGAAAGCUUGACGGUACCCAAGAAGAAAAGCCCCGGCUAACUACGUGCCAGCAGCCGCGGUAAAAUAGUACUAUCUCUGAGGCGGCGCGAGAC
This 534-nucleotide ribosomal RNA is filed under the name uncultured bacterium. Its description in RNAcentral is "bacterial SSU rRNA". It matches the Rfam family "Bacterial small subunit ribosomal RNA", at positions 30 to 543 of the family's 1533-position model. The record is from RNAcentral.